AACCCAUGAUUGGGACAUUUCCUUAGUAACACCUAGAAAUUCUCCCAUGCCUCAUAAAAAGUCUUCUCAGUACCUUGUCUGAAUAUAGAGAUUUCAAACUUCACAUU
Molecule: small nucleolar RNA, 107 nt
Filed under: Lupinus angustifolius (narrow-leaved blue lupine)
Lineage: Eukaryota; Viridiplantae; Streptophyta; Magnoliopsida; Fabales; Fabaceae
Description: Plant small nucleolar RNA R71
Rfam family: Plant small nucleolar RNA R71
About the family: R71 is a member of the C/D box family of snoRNAs containing the C (UGAUGA) and D (CUGA) box motifs.
Source: Rfam by way of RNAcentral